UGAUCACACCACUACUCCACCUGCCAAAGGCAGAGCCGACCAGGAUCAGUCCCCUGGGCACAUUCAUUGGUAUCGCUCUCGACAAGGAAGCUGAGACAGGCAGAAACUGCAAAAUCCUGAUCCAGAGCUGGAUGUCAAAUGUCUCUGGGGUGCUCGGUUUAUUAGACAAAUAGGGCCCAGUUAUAAAACUGGAGGCCUGAGCAGGGUUCGGGCCUACACUGGGGUGUUUGAACCUCACACUCCGUCAAGCUGAGAAAGGGGUGGGUUGGCAGAACAGGCCACAACUGUGAAAAACUGCCUCAGCUGGUAACGAGGAGGGCAGAGUUUCCUCAGGUGGGGCUCGUUAGGUUAGGCACAUAAGGAGGAAGCAUGGUUGGGCGAAGUGGUGUGUACAGAAGGAGAAAUAACCUAUGAUUUCUCCUGGGUAGGAAAGACUAGGAAGUCGGAGUAGAUGCUGAGGUGGAAGAGUGGAGUGGCCCUCCUCGCUCACCAGAGACAUUGUGCUAGCCCAGGGAAGCUACAGCCUGAGAAUGAUGGAGAGACACUGAGCCCAUCCUCCUUCUAGGCAAUGAGAUGAGCACUGUAGCUCUGAACCCUAGUGUCCAAUUCAGUAGCCUGAGAGUGAGCUUUGCCAGCUGGCCCUAGGAACAGACACUGGUUGUCCUUACGUUCCAUUGAAGCUGGGUGUGGACCAAAAGGUGCCUGUAAGUGCAACCCCUUGCUCUCCUGACAAAUUGCCAGCUGAAAGCAGCAGUUUUGGGCAACCUCAGGAAUUGAAAGGUGUGAAACCUGAGCUGUGAGGAACCCCAUUUCAGAUCUGGAGACCUUUUGGGGGAGCUUGGGACUAGCAGGUCCAAAGUGCCACUGUUUGUCCAGGCAGAAAUGCUGGUGAACCACUGUGCUGUUCAAGUCUGUCUCACCAUACCUGGUUUCCUUCUCACUUAAGGUGACUUUCUCUGUGAGGUAAUCGAAAAGCUCUCCUCUCUUCAUUCUGUGUUUAGGAAGACAAGGCAUUUAAAGAUGCUGGGCUUGAGUUACAGCCACAAUGUAAAAGAGAAAUAAAAUCUUUGGAAUCAACCACUACAUGUAAAAUGCAGUGACAACCCUGGAAAAGGUUUAGGGGGCUCACAGUUUCUCUCUGUGACAUCAAGCAAAUCUCAGUAUCUCCAACUGCAAGCCUGAAAAAAUCAAGAGUCAGGGCUCAAACAAUCAAGACAUUUGGCUUUAAAAUCAUGAGAUUUGUAAAACAAUAAAUAUGGGGUUCUUUUCA
Long non-coding RNA from Dermochelys coriacea (leatherback sea turtle), 1270 nucleotides. RefSeq lists it as uncharacterized. The transcript is spliced from 2 exons. NCBI's taxonomy places the organism in Eukaryota, Metazoa, Chordata, Testudines, Dermochelyidae. The record is from RefSeq and is a predicted model, not a curated record.